GCCCAGCUUGCUGGGUGGAUCAGUGGCGAACGGGUGAGUAACACGUGAGUAACCUGCCCCUGACUCUGGGAUAAGCCUUGGAAACGAGGUCUAAUACCGGAUAUGUGACGUUCAGGCAUCUGAUGCGUCUGGAAAGAUUUAUCGGUCAGGGAUGGACUCGCGGCCUAUCAGCUUGUUGGUGGGGUAACGGCCUACCAAGGCGACGACGGGUAGCCGGCCUGAGAGGGCGACCGGCCACACUGGGACUGAGACACGGCCCAGACUCCUACGGGAGGCAGCAGUGGGGAAUAUUGCACAAUGGGCGCAAGCCUGAUGCAGCGACGCCGCGUGAGGGAUGAAGGCCUUCGGGUUGUAAACCUCUUUCAGCAGGGAAGAAGCGCAAGUGACGGUACCUGCAGAAGAAGCGCCGGCUAACUACGUGCCAGCAGCCGCGGUAAUACGUAGGGCGCAAGCGUUGUCCGGAAUUAUUGGGCGUAAAGAGCUCGUAGGCGGUUUGUCGCGUCUGCUGUGAAAACUCGAGGCUCAACCUCGGGCUUGCAGUGGGUACGGGCAGACUAGAGUGCGGUAGGGGAGACUGGAAUUCCUGGUGUAGCGGUGGAAUGCGCAGAUAUCAGGAGGAACACCGAUGGCGAAGGCAGGUCUC
Molecule: ribosomal RNA, 643 nt
Filed under: Cellulomonas sp. 3A_(MB)_30.02mbsf
Lineage: Bacteria; Bacillati; Actinomycetota; Actinomycetes; Micrococcales; Cellulomonadaceae
Description: bacterial SSU rRNA
Rfam family: Bacterial small subunit ribosomal RNA
Source: RNAcentral